GAUGAAGAACGAAGCGAAAUGCGAUAAGUAAUGUGAAUUGCAGAAUUCAGUGAACCAUCGAAUCUUUGAACGCACAUUGCGCCCGCCAGUAUUCUGGCGGGCAUGCCUGUCCGAGCGUCAUCUCAACCCUCGAGCCCCCCCGGGGGCUCGGCGUUGGGGACCGGCCCCGCCCCAGGGCGCGCCGCCCCCCAAAUCCAGUGGCGGUCCCGCCGCAGCCUCCCCUGCGCAGUAGCUUGCACACCCGCACCGGAGAGCGGCGCGGCCACGCCGUAAAACCCCCCGACCACGGAGCCCCGGCUCCUGAACGUUGACCUCGGAUCAGGUAGGAAUACCCGCUGAACUUAAGCAUAUCAAUAAGCGGAGGA
This 365-nucleotide unclassified non-coding RNA is filed under the name soil metagenome. RNAcentral describes it as "partial contains 5.8S ribosomal RNA, internal transcribed spacer 2, and large subunit ribosomal RNA". The stretch from base 1 to 120 matches the Rfam family "5.8S ribosomal RNA", at positions 35 to 154 of the family's 154-position model. The record is from RNAcentral.